Molecule: non-coding RNA, 1528 nt
Organism: Oryza sativa Japonica Group (Japanese rice)
Lineage: Eukaryota; Viridiplantae; Streptophyta; Magnoliopsida; Poales; Poaceae
Source: RefSeq, a predicted model, not a curated record
ACCUGUCAUCCCCUUCCCCUACCUCCAGCCACCCCAUCGCCAGGGACCGGCAAUUGCCGCCCCACCCUGCCGCUAAAACCGCCGCCUCCCGCCUCCCUCGCGCACGUUCGACCGUGCGGAUGUGGUCGCCACCCACUCAUCCUCAUUUUCCCCCACUAUAUCCCCAAAAAUCACGCCGGUUUGACCUCCCUCGAGCUCCAUGUCGCCACCCCACGUCGCCGGCCGGUUGCCGCCCGAUUCCGCUCCUUUCGGCAACGAUUUCCCUCUCCUGAGCCUAUAUAAACACUGUCCAUGCGACCCUCGUCCAUUUCCCCAAUUUUCCCGUACUCCCCACACUCUCUCCCGCUCUCCCCACGCGAGCCCAAGCGCCGCCGCUCGCCGGCGACUCUCCAGCUGGCUGCUGCCGCCGCUGCCGCCGUCCCCGCGCCGCGCCGUUUGCGUCGCCGGCCUCGCCGCGCGUUGCCGAACCCCGUCCACCGCUCCGCUUCUGCAAUAAACCACCCGGGCGCCGGUUUCACCGUGCACCCGAGCCACAGCCGCCUCUCGUCUCCUCCAGUCGCUCGCCACCGCCACUCGCGUCGCUGCCACGCUGCGCCACCACCGUCGAAAGCUUCGUCGUGCCUCGCCGCACCCCGGCAUCCGAUUCGUUUCCCUAAAUCGCCACCGCAACCACCCCUCCACCGUCGACCCGAGCCACCACCUCCGUUUGUCGACUGCAGCCGCGUCGUCCCACUGCUUUGGUCGUCGCCAACCCACGUCGUCGCCUCCCUCGGCUCCGCAAGGACGAGGAGGUCCUCGGCCACCACUCCCCGUCACCCGAAUCCUGCCGGAACUCCACCUUCAUCGCACACCGGUCCUGCUGGCGCUCGGUCGUCCCUCCGCUUUCGCCGGACGUCGCCGGAGUCCCGCCGUCGCCGUGCCUCCUCGAGGAGCUUGUCGCCGCCGCGUUCCCGUCGUCUCCUCGCCGUUGCGCGAGCUCGGGUUUUUCCUCGUUUUGCGUGCCUGCGUGUAGUUCGCGUCGUUUCGGAAGUUCGCGGUCGCGAGGAUCAGAGUUCAGAAGGUUGUAGUGAAGAAGCAAGGCAAGUCACACAUUCCCCUUGAGCAUGUUGAUCCCAAUUUAUAAAUGUUUUACCGUUUGCAAAUAAACAUGCAUGUCUUGCUAAUUACAUGGGAUCCGAGUAUUACCUAUCUGCUCGCUUGUGCCAAUGUUUACUUGAUAUCUGUCCUUUGUCAACCUUGUGUGAUAAAUCAACUAGCUCAUGGUACUUAUGUGACCUAGCUAGAACUAUAUGCUUAGCCAUGCUUAAUUACCACUAGCUCAGUUGAUGGGAUAAUUACAGUAUUAGACCUUUUUAGUAUCAGAAUGAGCUGCAUGCUCGAGACAUCUGACCAUGCUUCGUGGUCUUAAUUAUCCAACUAAAAUACAACUGAAUGGUGGGCUGUGGGUGCAUGGUUUUGCUAGUCGCAUCCAUGGCAAUUAAGGACCGGUUCGCGGGAUGCCCUGGAAGAACUUAUCGUACUUACCACA